This 72-nucleotide transfer RNA is filed under the name Microcaldota archaeon. Its description in RNAcentral is "tRNA-Val". It matches the Rfam family "tRNA". From Rfam's summary of the family: Transfer RNA (tRNA) molecules are approximately 80 nucleotides in length. Their secondary structure includes four short double-helical elements and three loops (D, anti-codon, and T loops). Lineage: Archaea; Nanobdellati; Microcaldota. The record is from RNAcentral.
GGGCCUGUAGUCGAAUGGUAAGACGUCACCUUCACAAGGUAAAGAUCCGGAGUUCGAUUCUCCGCAGGCCCA